RNAcentral lists this ribosomal RNA (497 nucleotides) under uncultured bacterium. Its description in RNAcentral is "partial 16S ribosomal RNA". It matches the Rfam family "Bacterial small subunit ribosomal RNA", at positions 28 to 507 of the family's 1533-position model. The record is from RNAcentral.
GAUGAACGCUGGCGGCGUGCCUAAUACAUGCAAGUCGAGCGAACAGAUGAGGAGCUUGCUCCUCUGACGUUAGCGGCGGACGGGUGAGUAACACGUGGAUAACCUACCUAUAAGACUGGGAUAACUUCGGGAAACCGGAGCUAAUAACGGAUAAUAUAUUGAACCGCAUGGUUCAAUAGUGAAAGACGGUUUUGCUGUAUCUUAUAGAUGGAUCCGCGCCGCAUUAGCUAGUUGGUAAGGUAACGGCUUACCAAGGCAACGAUGCGUAGCCGACCUGAGAGGGUGAUCGGCCACAUUGGAACUGAGACACGGUCCGGACUCCUACGGGAGGCAGCAGUAGGGAAUCUUCCGCAAUGGGCGAAAGCCUGACGGGGCAACGCCGCGUGAGUGAUGAAGUUCUUCGGAUCGUAAAACUCUGUUAUUAGGGAAGAACAAAUGUGUAAGUAACUAUGCACGUCUUGACGGUACCUAAUCAGAAAGCCACGGCUAACUACGUG